GAUGAACGCUGGCGGCGUGCCUAAUACAUGCCAGUCGAGCGAACAGACGAGGAGCUUGCUCCUCUGACGUUAGCGGCGGACGGGUGAGUAACACGUGGAUAACCUACCUAUAAGACUGGGAUAACUUCGGGAAACCGGAGCUAAUACCGGAUAAUAUAUUGAACCGCAUGGUUCAAUAGUGAAAGACGGUUUUGCUGUCACUUAUAGAUGGAUCCGCGCCGCAUUAGCUAGUUGGUAAGGUAACGGCUUACCAAGGCAACGAUGCGUAGCCGACCUGAGAGGGUGAUCGGCCACACUGGAACGGAGACACGGUCCAGACUCCUACGGGAGGCAGCGGUAGGGAAUCUUCCGCAAUGGGCGAAAGCCUGACGGAGCAACGCCGCGUGAGUGAUGAAGGUCUUCGGAUCGUAAAACUCUGUUAUUAGGGAAGAACAAAUGUGUAAGUAACUAUGCACGUCUUGACGGUACCUAAUCAGAAAGCCACGGCUAACUACGUG
Molecule: ribosomal RNA, 497 nt
Filed under: uncultured bacterium
Lineage: Bacteria
Description: partial 16S ribosomal RNA
Rfam family: Bacterial small subunit ribosomal RNA
Source: RNAcentral